GAUGAACGCUAGCUACAGGCUUAACACAUGCAAGUCGAGGGGCAGCUUCAGUUUGCUUGCAAACUGGAGAUGGCGACCGGCGCACGGGUGAGUAACACGUAUCCAACCUGCCGAUAACUCGGGGAUAGCCUUUCGAAAGAAAGAUUAAUACCCGAUGGCAUAAUUAGACCGCAUGGUCUUAUUAUUAAAGAAUUUCGGUUAUCGAUGGGGAUGCGUUCCAUUAGGCAGUUGGUGAGGUAACGGCUCACCAAACCUUCGAUGGAUAGGGGUUCUGAGAGGAAGGUCCCCCACAUUGGAACUGAGACACGGUCCAAACUCCUACGGGAGGCAGCAGUGAGGAAUAUUGGUCAAUGGGCGCAGGCCUGAACCAGCCAAGUAGCGUGAAGGAUGACUGCCCUAUGGGUUGUAAACUUCUUUUAUAUGGGAAUAAAGUUUUCCACGUGUGGAAUUUUGUAUGUACCAUAUGAAUAAGGAUCGGCUAACUCCGUGCCAGCAGCCGCGGUAAUACGGAGGAUCCGAGCGUUAUCCGGAUUUAUUGGGUUUAAAGGGAGCGUAGGUGGACAGUUAAGUCAGUUGUGAAAGUUUGCGGCUCAACCGUAAAAUUGCAGUUGAUACUGGCUGUCUUGAGUACAGUAGAGGUGGGCGGAAUUCGUGGUGUAGCGGUGAAAUGCUUAGAUAUCACGAAGAACUCCGAUUGCGAAGGCAGCUCACUGGACUGCAACUGACACUGAUGCUCGAAAGUGUGGGUAUCAAACAGGAUUAGAUACCCUGGUAGUCCACACAGUAAACGAUGAAUACUCGCUGUUUGCGAUAUACAGUAAGCGGCCAAGCGAAAGCAUUAAGUAUUCCACCUGGGGAGUACGCCGGCAACGGUGAAACUCAAAGGAAUUGACGGGGGCCCGCACAAGCGGAGGAACAUGUGGUUUAAUUCGAUGAUACGCGAGGAACCUUACCCGGGCUUAAAUUGCAUUUGAAUAUAUUGGAAACAGUAUAGCCGUAAGGCAAAUGUGAAGGUGCUGCAUGGUUGUCGUCAGCUCGUGCCGUGAGGUGUCGGCUUAAGUGCCAUAACGAGCGCAACCCUUAUCUUUAGUUACUAACAGGUCAUGCUGAGGACUCUAGAGAGACUGCCGUCGUAAGAUGUGAGGAAGGUGGGGAUGACGUCAAAUCAGCACGGCCCUUACGUCCGGGGCUACACACGUGUUACAAUGGGGGGUACAGAAGGCAGCUACCUGGUGACAGGAUGCUAAUCCCAAAAGCCUCUCUCAGUUCGGAUCGAAGUCUGCAACCCGACUUCGUGAAGCUGGAUUCGCUAGUAAUCGCGCAUCAGCCAUGGCGCGGUGAAUACGUUCCCGGGCCU
Molecule: ribosomal RNA, 1357 nt
Filed under: uncultured bacterium
Lineage: Bacteria
Description: bacterial SSU rRNA
Rfam family: Bacterial small subunit ribosomal RNA
Source: RNAcentral